This 617-nucleotide ribosomal RNA is filed under the name Klebsiella pneumoniae. Its description in RNAcentral is "bacterial SSU rRNA". It matches the Rfam family "Bacterial small subunit ribosomal RNA", at positions 1 to 609 of the family's 1533-position model. The record is from RNAcentral. Lineage: Bacteria; Pseudomonadati; Pseudomonadota; Gammaproteobacteria; Enterobacterales; Enterobacteriaceae.
AAAUUGAAGAGUUUGAUCAUGGCUCAGAUUGAACGCUGGCGGCAGGCCUAACACAUGCAAGUCGAGCGGUAGCACAGAGAGCUUGCUCUCGGGUGACGAGCGGCGGACGGGUGAGUAAUGUCUGGGAAACUGCCUGAUGGAGGGGGAUAACUACUGGAAACGGUAGCUAAUACCGCAUAACGUCGCAAGACCAAAGUGGGGGACCUUCGGGCCUCAUGCCAUCAGAUGUGCCCAGAUGGGAUUAGCUAGUAGGUGGGGUAACGGCUCACCUAGGCGACGAUCCCUAGCUGGUCUGAGAGGAUGACCAGCCACACUGGAACUGAGACACGGUCCAGACUCCUACGGGAGGCAGCAGUGGGGAAUAUUGCACAAUGGGCGCAAGCCUGAUGCAGCCAUGCCGCGUGUGUGAAGAAGGCCUUCGGGUUGUAAAGCACUUUCAGCGGGGAGGAAGGCGGUGAGGUUAAUAACCUCAUCGAUUGACGUUACCCGCAGAAGAAGCACCGGCUAACUCCGUGCCAGCAGCCGCGGUAAUACGGAGGGUGCAAGCGUUAAUCGGAAUUACUGGGCGUAAAGCGCACGCAGGCGGUCUGUCAAGUCGGAUGUGAAAUCCCCGGGCU